RNAcentral lists this ribosomal RNA (392 nucleotides) under uncultured bacterium. Its description in RNAcentral is "bacterial SSU rRNA". It matches the Rfam family "Bacterial small subunit ribosomal RNA", at positions 29 to 448 of the family's 1533-position model. The record is from RNAcentral.
AGCGAACGCUGGCGGCAGGCUUAACACAUGCAAGUCGAACGCCCGGGCAACCGGGAGUGGCAGACGGGUGAGUAACACGUGGGAACAUGCCCUUCGGUUCGGAAUAACUCGGGGAAACUCGUGCUAAUACCGGAUACGUCCGUAAGGAGAAAGAUUUAUCGCCGAAGGAUUGGCCCGCGUCCGAUUAGCUAGUUGGUGGGGUAAAAGCCCACCAAGGCGACGAUCGGUAGCUGGUCUGAGAGGANGAUCAGCCACACUGGGACUGAGACACGGCCCAGACUCCUACGGGAGGCAGCAGUGGGGAAUAUUGGACAAUGGGCGCAAGCCUGAUCCAGCCAUGCCGCGUGAGUGAUGAAGGCCCUAGGGUUGUAAAGCUCUUUUGUGCGGGAAGA